ACAAGCGGUGGAGCAUGUGGUUUAAUUCGAGGCAACGCGCAGAACCUUACCAGCCCUUGACAUCCCGGUCGCGGAUCGCAGAGAUGCUUUCCUUCAGUUCGGCUGGACCGGUGACAGGUGCUGCAUGGCUGUCGUCAGCUCGUGUCGUGAGAUGUUGGGUUAAGUCCCGCAACGAGCGCAACCCCCGCCUUCAGUUGCCAACGGUUCGGCCGUGCACUCUGGAGGAACUGCCUGUGACAAGCAGGAGGAAGGUGGGGAUGACGUCAAGUCCUCAUGGCCCUUAUGGGCUGGGCUACACACGUGCUACAAUGGCGGUGACAGAGGGAUGCAAUACCGCGAGGUGGAGCAAAUCCCUAAAAGCCGUCUCAGUUCGGAUUGUUCUCUGCAACUCGAGAGCAUGAAGUUGGAAUCGCUAGUAAUCGCAGAUCAGCUCGCUGCGGUGAAUACGUUCCCGGGCCUU
This 460-nucleotide ribosomal RNA is filed under the name uncultured Alphaproteobacteria bacterium. RNAcentral describes it as "bacterial SSU rRNA". It matches the Rfam family "Bacterial small subunit ribosomal RNA", at positions 925 to 1382 of the family's 1533-position model. Lineage: Bacteria; Pseudomonadati; Pseudomonadota; Alphaproteobacteria. The record is from RNAcentral.